This 349-nucleotide ribosomal RNA is filed under the name uncultured rumen bacterium. RNAcentral describes it as "partial 16S ribosomal RNA". The record is from RNAcentral.
UCCCACUGCUGCCUCCCGUAGGAGUCUGGGCCGUGUCUCAGUCCCAAUGUGGCCGUUCAUCCUCUCAGACCGGCUACCGAUCGUCGCCUUGGUGAGCCGUUACCCCACCAACCAGCUAAUCGGACGCAGGCCCAUCCUUCAGCGGUGCUUGAGGGCACCUUUCAAGCUUCCGUCAUGCGGCAGAAGCUUCGUAUCCGGUAUUAGCAUCCCUUUCGGAAUGUUGUCCCCGUCUGAAGGGCAGGUUGCCUACGCGUUACUCACCCGUUCGCCACUAGGAAUCCUGCCGAAGCAAAAUUCCCCGUUCGACUUGCAUGUGUUAAGCACGCCGCCAGCGUUCAUCCUGAGCCAA